RNAcentral lists this non-coding RNA (48 nucleotides) under Schistosoma margrebowiei. Lineage: Eukaryota; Metazoa; Platyhelminthes; Trematoda; Strigeidida; Schistosomatidae. The record is from RNAcentral.
ACCUAACUGACGAGUCCCAAAUAGGACGACACGCGCGUCAACCUGGAU